GCGGAUAUGAUGAAAUUGGUAGACAUGUUAGAUUUAGAUUCUAAUGAUAACUUAUAAUCAUGGGGGUUCGAAUCCCUCUAUCCGUA
RNAcentral lists this transfer RNA (86 nucleotides) under Gracilaria spinulosa. Its description in RNAcentral is "tRNA-Leu". It matches the Rfam family "tRNA". From Rfam's summary of the family: Transfer RNA (tRNA) molecules are approximately 80 nucleotides in length. Their secondary structure includes four short double-helical elements and three loops (D, anti-codon, and T loops). Further hydrogen bonds mediate the characteristic L-shaped molecular structure. tRNAs have two regions of fundamental functional importance: the anti-codon, which is responsible for specific mRNA codon recognition, and the 3' end, to which the tRNAs corresponding amino acid is attached (by aminoacyl-tRNA synthetases). tRNAs cope with the degeneracy of the genetic code in two manners: having more than one tRNA (with a specific anti-codon) for a particular amino acid; and 'wobble' base-pairing, i.e. permitting non-standard base-pairing at the 3rd anti-codon position. Lineage: Eukaryota; Rhodophyta; Florideophyceae; Gracilariales; Gracilariaceae. The record is from RNAcentral.